GCUACAGACCCAUAUUAUCAACUGCAAUGAAACAAUGCUGGAAAGGAAUUGAAUAUUUUGGUGGAGAGUACUUGUAUGAGCUUCAAAAUCAUCUCAGAUCAAAGAGCUCGUGGAUACUGGGCUCAUUACGUCAUGGCGUGCCCUUUGGAAGAAACUCCCACAGUCAUGUGAUUGUUUUUCCACUGCCCUCUGAAAAAGUCCUCAGGCUCAGAAGUUCCCUUUGCUCUGACUCCCUCUCCCGUCCCUGGGAUUAUGUUCCAUAUCAGUUAUGCUGUGGCUGUUCAAACCAUCCUCUCUAGAUUAGCAAGGAUUUUUACUUUUCCCGGAUGCUGCUGAGAUCUCCUGUUGAUCUGAGGAAGGUGUUGGGAAACAGUGUGAAUGGUGGACCAUCAGCAACACCUUGAAGAAGGGAUUUUUCACCCCAAAGUGUGACGCUUCAGGAAAAUGUUGGUGCCAUUCCUACUAGAUAAAGCAAGGGAGGAUCAGGCUUUGUGGACCAUGCCAUGGCCUGGGGCCUCAGCUCUUGUGUAGUGGAUUAGAAGUGGUAUCAUGGUGUUAUCACACAUGGGAGACUAACACCUCUCGCAAUAUUUUUAAAGCAGGCCAGAGCAUGCAAGGUUAUGUGUCAUGUUGGGUGAUGUGUCUGGCGUGUCAAGCCACAAAAAGUGGAGAACAGGCUGCAUGGAGGGGCAGACAAGUGUCAGCUGGGAAUACUCAUGAUGGUCCAAGGCAAGGGAGCAACCAAGAUGUUGGCUUUUCAGUGCUGACUGCUCUGUAUCUAUGGACAACUUAGAGUUCACAACCAGAUGCAGAUUAAUGCAGAGAAGCCAGACAAAAUCAGUCUUCUCAUUCCUGCUUAAAUGGUUACUACUGAUUUUUCUCAUGAAGCAAGGCAUAUUGCUUCAUCUAUAUGGCAGCCAUGGAUAAUGGCUGUCAUGUUGUUCCCAAGGAAUACUUUUUGGAAACUGGUCCUUUAAAUCUGGCAGAGCAAAACAUCUUUGGUUCUAACACAGUCAUUUUGAGAUUUGAUCUUCCUCUCAGGCUGGUAAGCAUUCUUAAAUUCUUUUUCUUCCUUCUUUUACUUUGAAGUGUUGCUGAGGAAACUUGAUGACUUUAGCACACUGCCUGUGAUAACAUUGAUAAAAAUAAUCUCUGUAGCAGUCUGGAGCCCUCUAAGAAGCAGACUGCAUGCACAGCUCAGGCAGCUUACAAAGCUCUGACAGUAGGAAAGCGUGGCCAGGGCCGGAGAUGGGUGGUAAAACAAGCCCCAUUUCUUGUAGCCUGUUCAGCCAGGAGGGGCUGGGGAGAAUGGUCACACUCAGAGAUUACUUUGGCAGCUCCUUAAGUUUCCCUGCUUGUAGCCACUUUUCAUUCUCUGGAGGCUGAGGUCCCUGUUUGGUGGGCUGGGCAAAUGUGUUUUGAAUUGCCACUCAGGGUAUGUCUGAGCACUGAAAUGAGCACUAGGGCUGCUCACAGUGCAGAUCAGCAUGCAUUCUGUUAGCUCUCUAAAUUACAGGAAUGGGACCACUUAUUUUUGAGAAAGAAAUCUCGGCUACACCUUCUUCUAAGCUCUAAUUAUUUACACAUACACAAGAAAAGAGAUUUUCCUCAACUUUACAUACUUAAGGCAGUAGCUAAAUAUCUCAAGAUCUCAUUACUUUAACAUACUCUUUGCUUUAAUAACCUGCUUUAAUUUAUUUUUAUUUAAUGUAUUUUACUGUGUUGGAUCCAUAUCUUUUAAAAAGACAAGAGGAAAUAUGAGUAAUUAGAAAGUAGUAACAUCUGUACUGAAUGAUUCUUAUUGCUUAAUAAAAAACUUUGAAAGUGAAAUAAAAUAUUAAGA
Molecule: long non-coding RNA, 1843 nt
Organism: Serinus canaria (Common canary)
Lineage: Eukaryota; Metazoa; Chordata; Aves; Passeriformes; Fringillidae
Source: Ensembl